GUCACUCAUUGAUUAAAAGCCAAUGAGAAAAAGUGCAUUUUUAGACAAGAUUUAAAAACAGGCAGAGACUGAGCCUGUCUGACAUCUAAAGGCAAGUGGUUCCACAGCUAAGGAGAUUGCAGAAACUACUAAAAUUGGGUUAAGAACUGUUCAGCGCAUUAAUAAACAUAACAUGUGCACACUUGAAAACCCUCGACCUGACUUAUCAGUGCAUGUCAAAGUUUUUGGACGGCCAGAAGGAUGACCAACUGAUGACAAUGCCCUGCAGCCAGUGUGGCCGAGGGUAAAAA
Molecule: long non-coding RNA, 290 nt
Organism: Sphaeramia orbicularis (orbiculate cardinalfish)
Lineage: Eukaryota; Metazoa; Chordata; Actinopteri; Kurtiformes; Apogonidae
Exons: 2
Source: RefSeq, a predicted model, not a curated record